UGAGGAAUAUUGGUCAAUGGGCGGAAGCCUGAACCAGCCAUGCCGCGUGCAGGAAGGAGGCCCUACGGGUUGUAAACUGCUUUUACCCGGGAAGAAACCGCCCCCUGUGGGGGGCGUUGCCGGUACCGGGGGAAAAAGGAUCGGCUAACUCCGUGCCAGCAGCCGCGGUAAUACGGAGGAUCCGGGCGUUAUCCGGAAUUACUGGGUUUAAAGGGUGCGUAGGCGGGGCUUUAAGCCGGCGGUGAAAUGCAGCGGCUCAACCGCUGGAAUGCCGUUGGGACUGGGGCUCUUGGAUACGGUCGGGGCGGGUGGAACUCGUGGUGUAGCGGUGAAAUGCAUAGAUAUCACGAGGAACGCCGGUAGCGAAGGCAGCUCGCCGGGCCGGUAUUGACGCUGAGGCACGAAAGCGUGGGGAUCGAACAG
Molecule: ribosomal RNA, 423 nt
Filed under: uncultured bacterium
Lineage: Bacteria
Description: bacterial SSU rRNA
Rfam family: Bacterial small subunit ribosomal RNA
Source: RNAcentral